RNAcentral lists this long non-coding RNA (288 nucleotides) under Lupinus angustifolius (narrow-leaved blue lupine). RNAcentral's name for it is "long non-coding RNA (LANG_LNC002160)". The record is from RNAcentral. Lineage: Eukaryota; Viridiplantae; Streptophyta; Magnoliopsida; Fabales; Fabaceae.
GGUUGAUGGUUGUUGCACAAGAGGGAAAGGAAUAUAAGACACAGACUGUAAUGGUAGUAAACAGUUGAUAAAACAGUAGCAAGAAUUGCAGAAGAUAAUAAGAGGAAAUUAUGACAUUACUAUGUAUGGAUAAUUCUUGCAGUAUAUUAAGAAAGUUCUGGAAGAAAAACAAGUAUUCAGAGAGAGAAGGAAAUCAGAAUCGGUUCCAGGGGGAGAGAAGAAUCAUCAUUACAUUCAUAUCCUACUUCACCUUACAUUCCUCUAUUUAUUACCCCACCACAUAUUCCC